GAUCAAAUGCUAACGCUACAACACAAAGGAGCAAGAAAAUCUUGUUCCAGUUUUGAAGAUAAGAGUCGUUAGGAUUCAUCACUCGUAUUAUCUUUUUCUUGUUCUCAUUCUUCUUUUGAGAAUGAAACGUUAAUGGCUGCUGCUUAAAGGUUCUGAUCUUCUCUGAGCCUUUCUCAAAGCUACGUCUAACUGUUUUUUUAAUAACUGAAGUUACUGAAGGUCUGUUCCAAGAAUCUUCAUUUUCAGUAAACCUGUUACAGAAAAAAAUAAAAUUAAAUCAAGAUUACUACAUAUUAACUCUUAAUUAACAAGACUAACAACAAAUCCAACUGAUACAUACUUUACAAACGUGUUUCUUUUGAGAUUCAUCAUCUCCAUCUACUCUUGUCUUCUUCAAAAGAUUCUCAAACCUGUGAAAAUAAAAAUAAAAAAUAUUAUCCAUUUUUCUUUUAUUAUUACCCCGUUUUGAAACUCCAGUAACUAUCUUGGAACAUACUGACAAAAUAUUACCCAUUUCAGUAGCUCUUUUGUUACCAGUGACGCAGGUCGACUCAUCGAUGGAACAACAGCUAGAACAACUACCUAUAAAAGCAAUGAAAGUUUUAGAUUCAACCAACAUCUUGAAGAAGUAAGAUUUGAGAAAGUAGCUGUACCUGAGGAAUAGGGAGAAUAGAAAGAACAUCGAUUAUAAAGUAUGACUUGAGGUAUCUCACAGCGAUUUUUUUAGAGCUCUGAACAAGCUCCCCUCUUCCAAAACCACGAGAAGAAGGAGCAAUGAAGCCAGUAUUAAACUGAAACAACAUGUGAACCAAAUAGAAAGCGUCGAUGAAAGUGCGGAAAACACAAGCCACUGCCUCGAGUUUCUUGUCUAGUUUAAGACAGAAUCUGUCUGGAUCCACCACGGGGAUGAAGAAAAAAAGAGGAUCAAAUGCUAACGCUACAACACAAAGGAGCAAGAAAAUCUUGUUCCAGUUUUGAAGAUAAGAGUCGUUAGGAUUCAUCACUCGUAUUAUCUUUUUCUUGUUCUCAUUCUUCUUUUGAGAAUGAAACGUUAAUGGCUGCUGCUUAAAGGUUCUGAUCUUCUCUGAGCCUUUCUCAAAGCUACGUCUAACUGUUUUUUUAAUAACUGAAGUUACUGAAGGUCUGUUCCAAGAAUCUUCAUUUUCAGUA
Molecule: long non-coding RNA, 1170 nt
Filed under: Brassica napus (rape)
Lineage: Eukaryota; Viridiplantae; Streptophyta; Magnoliopsida; Brassicales; Brassicaceae
Description: long non-coding RNA (BNAP_LNC003861)
Source: RNAcentral